Pangasianodon hypophthalmus (striped catfish) is the source of this 846-nucleotide long non-coding RNA. RefSeq lists it as uncharacterized. NCBI's taxonomy places the organism in Eukaryota, Metazoa, Chordata, Actinopteri, Siluriformes, Pangasiidae. The record is from RefSeq and is a predicted model, not a curated record. The transcript has 2 exons.
AGCAAAGGGGCCUUAAAAUUCCUAUUUUAAACAUGUCAGAUAUUAAAUUCACAUUCGGUACUAAUAAUGUCAUGGUAAUGCUGCUGUGUAGUUUUAAUAACACACUAACUUUCGUCCUCAGAAAUGACCACGCACUAUUAUUGACAUUAGAGCAGGCUCCGUUAUAGGUGGAGUUCCAAAUGGCUCGCCAACGGACAUGUAGUGCACUACAUAGUGUGUAGAACGCAGUAAUUUCACAUCCUAUAUAGUGCACCAAUAUAGGAAGUAAGGAGUUGUUUAGGAUUUAGCCUUUCUAAUGCCAUAACUGUUCAGGCAUGUGUGUAUUCAGCUGCUUAAAAAAGCCACUAGUUAAACACUAAAAAAUGUGUGCCAGUAAGAUGAAAAGUUCAUCAGACAGUAUGUAAUCAUAUAGUCAAGACACAUUUGGUGUGUGAAGUUUGCUGAUUCAGUUUUGUGCUGGAGAGACCAGGCUAAUGUAACUACCAAGCAAUGAAAGCUCAGAGCCACCAGUUUAACAUUCAGCCACUGCAUGCUUCAGUCCGUAUCAGUGAUUUGGAAGAUCCUGUUCAUAUAUUUUUAAUGUUGACUUCUGUUAUGUUAUGAAACUUUAUGUUGUAAUAACAUAACUGAGCCAAGUAGCAUCUUUUGAGGUGAGUGUGUAAUGAUUUAGGCAUGAAGUCUGCACAGUGAUAAACUGGCGGCUUUACACUGCCAUUAAUUACAUUAGCUUUGUGGAAAACAAAGAAAGAAAGAAGCAAAUGCCGGACAUCAUACAUGUCUUGGCUAAAUGAGGAAACAAACAAUGUAUAUAUAUUUGAUUGUUGACAAAUCUAUGGCUUCAAGAUU